CUUUAGCUUUUAUAUACUUAGUAGGCAACCCUUUUUGUUGGUUGGUUGUAGCAUAAUAUUCUCAUGCACCGACUUUUAAAAGAGACCACCAAAACUCUCUUUGUGGAUACUCUUAUAGUAUUAAGCAUCCUAUCCCGCUAAUAGGCGCUUGAAUAUCAGAUAUUUAUUUGAAAUAACACAAGAUAUAUGAGGUUGUGAAUGAGGUUUACAGAAUAGAGAAUAAUGCCCCUCCCCCCCCCCCCCCAAAAAAAAGAGAGAGAAUAUAAAGUAAAGUUGAUUAACAAAAUAACUAAACUCUGCGUUUUCUGCAUACCAAAUUAAAUAUUGAUAUACGUAUAUCAUUUGGAAUGAAAUGUUGAACUGGUCCUUAUCAGAACUGGUUCAAUGAUUUUAGCCAUGCAAAUUAUGUUCAUUAAUAAGCAUCGGUAUUUUCGUCCACCAUUGCAGACUUAGUUAACCUUACAUCCUUCUCCUACAUUGUGUCAAUAAUUAUUACAACAAUGAAAUUUCGUGAAAGAGUUCCGACAAAAAUAACCAUUGACAACAAAAAGCUAUGUACAGCUGAAAAAAACAUACAACAACUAGUCAUACAAUCAAAGAGCUAUAAUUCUCGAUUUUUGGAACGAAGCAUGCACACAAAGAACAGAAACAGUUGAAGAGCUAUCAGACCAAACAGAACCUAAUAAAUAGCCAAAUCAUGCAGACGAAGAUCAACUUUGUCUAAUGGAGUUGAAACCUUAGUUUCUUUAUAAUUUCAAAAUUUAUGGAUAAUUUUAAGGGACGUCUCUUUUGCCGGAAUGAUUCCUACGUCUUCAGUUUCAUAUUUGAGAGAUCCAUAAUUCAUUCCAAUUUAAAAAAAAACAA
This 864-nucleotide long non-coding RNA is filed under the name Mytilus galloprovincialis (Mediterranean mussel). Lineage: Eukaryota; Metazoa; Mollusca; Bivalvia; Mytilida; Mytilidae. The record is from RNAcentral.